RNAcentral lists this ribosomal RNA (2930 nucleotides) under Escherichia coli. RNAcentral's name for it is "23S ribosomal RNA". It matches the Rfam family "Bacterial large subunit ribosomal RNA". Lineage: Bacteria; Pseudomonadati; Pseudomonadota; Gammaproteobacteria; Enterobacterales; Enterobacteriaceae. The record is from RNAcentral.
GGGUUGUGAGGUUAAGCGACUAAGCGUACACGGUGGAUGCCCUGGCAGUCAGAGGCGAUGAAGGACGUGCUAAUCUGCGAUAAGCGUCGGUGAGGUGAUAUGAACCGUUAUAACCGGCGAUUUCCGAAUGGGGAAACCCAGUGUGUUUCGACACACUAUCAUUAACUGAAUCCAUAGGUUAAUGAGGCGAACCGGGGGAACUGAAACAUCUAAGUACCCCGAGGAAAAGAAAUCAACCGAGAUUCCCCCAGUAGCGGCGAGCGAACGGGGAGGAGCCCAGAGCCUGAAUCAGUGUGUGUGUUAGUGGAAGCGUCUGGAAAGGCGCGCGAUACAGGGUGACAGCCCCGUACACAAAAAUGCACAUAUUGUGAGCUCGAUGAGUAGGGCGGGACACGUGGUAUCCUGUCUGAAUAUGGGGGGACCAUCCUCCAAGGCUAAAUACUCCUGACUGACCGAUAGUGAACCAGUACCGUGAGGGAAAGGCGAAAAGAACCCCGGCGAGGGGAGUGAAAAAGAACCUGAAACCGUGUACGUACAAGCAGUGGGAGCCUCUUUAUGGGGUGACUGCGUACCUUUUGUAUAAUGGGUCAGCGACUUAUAUUCUGUAGCAAGGUUAACCGAAUAGGGGAGCCGAAGGGAAACCGAGUCUUAACUGGGCGUUAAGUUGCAGGGUAUAGACCCGAAACCCGGUGAUCUAGCCAUGGGCAGGUUGAAGGUUGGGUAACACUAACUGGAGGACCGAACCGACUAAUGUUGAAAAAUUAGCGGAUGACUUGUGGCUGGGGGUGAAAGGCCAAUCAAACCGGGAGAUAGCUGGUUCUCCCCGAAAGCUAUUUAGGUAGCGCCUCGUGAAUUCAUCUCCGGGGGUAGAGCACUGUUUCGGCAAGGGGGUCAUCCCGACUUACCAACCCGAUGCAAACUGCGAAUACCGGAGAAUGUUAUCACGGGAGACACACGGCGGGUGCUAACGUCCGUCGUGAAGAGGGAAACAACCCAGACCGCCAGCUAAGGUCCCAAAGUCAUGGUUAAGUGGGAAACGAUGUGGGAAGGCCCAGACAGCCAGGAUGUUGGCUUAGAAGCAGCCAUCAUUUAAAGAAAGCGUAAUAGCUCACUGGUCGAGUCGGCCUGCGCGGAAGAUGUAACGGGGCUAAACCAUGCACCGAAGCUGCGGCAGCGACACUAUGUGUUGUUGGGUAGGGGAGCGUUCUGUAAGCCUGUGAAGGUGGCCUGUGAGGGUUGCUGGAGGUAUCAGAAGUGCGAAUGCUGACAUAAGUAACGAUAAAGCGGGUGAAAAGCCCGCUCGCCGGAAGACCAAGGGUUCCUGUCCAACGUUAAUCGGGGCAGGGUGAGUCGACCCCUAAGGCGAGGCCGAAAGGCGUAGUCGAUGGGAAACAGGUUAAUAUUCCUGUACUUGGUGUUACUGCGAAGGGGGGACGGAGAAGGCUAUGUUGGCCGGGCGACGGUUGUCCCGGUUUAAGCGUGUAGGCUGGUUUUCCAGGCAAAUCCGGAAAACCAAGGCUGAGGCGUGAUGACGAGGCACUACGGUGCUGAAGCGACAAAUGCCCUGCUUCCAGGAAAAGCCUCUAAGCAUCAGGUAACAUCAAAUCGUACCCCAAACCGACACAGGUGGUCAGGUAGAGAAUACCAAGGCGCUUGAGAGAACUCGGGUGAAGGAACUAGGCAAAAUGGUGCCGUAACUUCGGGAGAAGGCACGCUGAUAUGUAGGUGAAGCGACUUGCUCGUGGAGCUGAAAUCAGUCGAAGAUACCAGCUGGCUGCAACUGUUUAUUAAAAACACAGCACUGUGCAAACACGAAAGUGGACGUAUACGGUGUGACGCCUGCCCGGUGCCGGAAGGUUAAUUGAUGGGGUUAGCGGUAACGCGAAGCUCUUGAUCGAAGCCCCGGUAAACGGCGGCCGUAACUAUAACGGUCCUAAGGUAGCGAAAUUCCUUGUCGGGUAAGUUCCGACCUGCACGAAUGGCGUAAUGAUGGCCAGGCUGUCUCCACCCGAGACUCAGUGAAAUUGAACUCGCUGUGAAGAUGCAGUGUACCCGCGGCAAGACGGAAAGACCCCGUGAACCUUUACUAUAGCUUGACACUGAACAUUGAGCCUUGAUGUGUAGGAUAGGUGGGAGGCUUUGAAGUGUGGACGCCAGUCUGCAUGGAGCCGACCUUGAAAUACCACCCUUUAAUGUUUGAUGUUCUAACGUUGGCCCGUAAUCCGGGUUGCGGACAGUGUCUGGUGGGUAGUUUGACUGGGGCGGUCUCCUCCUAAAGAGUAACGGAGGAGCACGAAGGUUGGCUAAUCCUGGUCGGACAUCAGGAGGUUAGUGCAAUGGCAUAAGCCAGCUUGACUGCGAGCGUGACGGCGCGAGCAGGUGCGAAAGCAGGUCAUAGUGAUCCGGUGGUUCUGAAUGGAAGGGCCAUCGCUCAACGGAUAAAAGGUACUCCGGGGAUAACAGGCUGAUACCGCCCAAGAGUUCAUAUCGACGGCGGUGUUUGGCACCUCGAUGUCGGCUCAUCACAUCCUGGGGCUGAAGUAGGUCCCAAGGGUAUGGCUGUUCGCCAUUUAAAGUGGUACGCGAGCUGGGUUUAGAACGUCGUGAGACAGUUCGGUCCCUAUCUGCCGUGGGCGCUGGAGAACUGAGGGGGGCUGCUCCUAGUACGAGAGGACCGGAGUGGACGCAUCACUGGUGUUCGGGUUGUCAUGCCAAUGGCACUGCCCGGUAGCUAAAUGCGGAAGAGAUAAGUGCUGAAAGCAUCUAAGCACGAAACUUGCCCCGAGAUGAGUUCUCCCUGACUCCUUGAGAGUCCUGAAGGAACGUUGAAGACGACGACGUUGAUAGGCCGGGUGUGUAAGCGCAGCGAUGCGUUGAGCUAACCGGUACUAAUGAACCGUGAGGCUUAACCUUACAACGCCGAAGCUGUU